RNA transcript from Zingiber officinale, 3844 nucleotides. It is a transcript of the gene named pentatricopeptide repeat-containing protein At2g13600-like, with no coding region annotated. NCBI's taxonomy places the organism in Eukaryota, Viridiplantae, Streptophyta, Magnoliopsida, Zingiberales, Zingiberaceae. The record is from RefSeq and is a predicted model, not a curated record. The transcript is spliced from 2 exons.
CACGGGAUAUUUUUCUGUGAGACGGCGAUCUUUGCCUUCUACAAUCCGCUGCUAAAUGCCGCGAAGAUCCACGCCUCCCUGCUCAAGACCGGCUUCCAAAGCCAUGCCUACCGCUGCAACCUCCUCCUCCGCGCUUACGUCCGAUGCGGCGCCUUGGACCAUGCCCGCUCCCUCCUCCUCCACAUGCCUCGCCCCAAUACCGUCUCCUUCAACACCCUCCUCUCCGGCUACGUCCGGUGCGACCGCAUCGACGACGCCCUCAACCUAUUCGACCAAAUCCCCUGCGCAGACGCUCACUCCUGGAACACCAUCACCUCCGGACUCGUCCGCGCCAACCGCUCCCGGGAAGCCCUUGCCUGUUUCGCCACCAUGGCCCGCCACCAUGUCCAUGUCAGGCCCGACGACUUCACCUACUCGACGAUCCUCGCUUGCUGCGAUCUACGUGCGGGAUGGCAGCUUCAUGCACAGAUAAUGAAGACGGCGUCGUUUUUGGCGGAUCCCUUUAUCGGCACAAACCUGAUGAAGAUGUACGCCGACUCCGGGGAGAUGAAUCAUGCAAGGAAAUUGUUUGACGAAAUGGGUGCGAGAGACUUGGCAGCAUGGAAUGUGUUGAUGGAUUGUUACUCGAGAUUAGGGAUGGGCGAGUUAUGUCUCAAGACUUUCGUGGAGGUCAUCAGGGAUGGGAUUCGAGUCGACGAGUUCACGUUGGCGACUGUUCUGAAUGAACUUGCUGAUCACUUGUGGGUUUCGGAAGGCAAGCAGCUGCAUUCAUUGAUGACUAAAGGUGGAUUCUUUACGGACUGCUUUUGUUGCAACGCAUUGUUGAAUCUGUACUCAAAGGAAGAUAUUCAUUCAGCACUUAAGAUGUUCGAUGAAAUGUAUGACCGGAGUGCAGUUUCUUGGACCAUCAUAGUUUCAGGUCUUUUGGCUAGCGGCAACACUUAUACUGCUUUCGAGGCUUUGAAUUCUAUGCAGAUGGCUGAAGUGGAACCAAACUCUCAUACUUUUGGCAGUUUGAUCAGUUGCUGCGGCGAUGUCGGUGCAUAUGACAAUGGUAAGCAAUAUCAUGGUUUGGCUAUUAAGAAAGGUUUGGAACUUGAUGUUAUUGUGGGGAGCUCAAUUGUGACUAUGCAUUCAAAAUGUGGAGAAACAACUGGUGCACUAAGACUCUUCCGAAGCUUGCCCGAGAAAGACAUUGUUUCAUGGAAUGGGGUCAUAUGUGGAUUUGCACAAAAUGGAGGAGCCGCCAAAGCUCUGCAACUCUUUGACGAACUGGUUCAUGUACACCACAAUGAAGUCAUGCCGAAUCAUGUAACCUUUGUUGGUGUCUUGACCGCAUGCUCCCAUGCCGGGCUUAUCCACAAGGGCUGUAAUAUUUUCAAUGACAUGUUUGAAGUGUACUCAUGUGAACCCCAAGCUGAACACUAUGCCUGUAUGGUUGAUAUAUUUGCGCGUUGGGGUUUGCUCGAAGAAGCAGAAGCUGUGAUUCUAGCCCUUCCUACAGCACCUAACAUUAACCUCUGGGGUGCAUUGCUUGCAGCAUGCAAACGGCACAAAAACUUGGUCAUGGCAAAGCGCAUCUCCGAGCAACUCUAUGUGUCGGAACCAUUGAAUUCUUCCAAUUACGUUCUCCUCGCAAACUUGUAUGCUGAAAACAAAGAGUGGAAUGAGGCGAUGAAAGUUAGGAAUAAGAUUUUGACAGUUGGAGUUCAAAAAGUAGUCGGCAGAAGUUGGAUUGAUAUCAGAGGUCAACCUUGUACUUUCGUAUCAGGUGACACACAUAUAACACAGUUUGAGCUAAUCUCCGGGGUACUGGAGACACUGGGAUUGAUAAUGCUUGACGAGGAACGGACGACUUAAUCGACAAGGAUGAAGUGUGGGUGAUGCAAUGAUUCCCUUGAGGUUUAAGUUAAGCACGACUCAUAAACUACGUUCAACAAGUUUAUUUCCCAGAGAGAUAACGGUUGUAUUAUUCUCUUCUCAGUUCCUGGGAUUCAAGAAAAUUGUUGGUUACUAAUCAAUCAAAUUUAUAGUUUGUGCGGUAGAAAUCUACCACCUUAUUUAAGCUUCUUCUUGGAUCUCUUGAUCCUCUUUCUUUUGCCGGUGAGUGCGACUGCUUGGAGUCUUUCGAUUCAUAUCUGUACCAGUUAACAGCCCUGGGUAUUGAUACCACAGAAAGAAAAGUUCUAGGCGAUUCUUAAUGGCUUGAUGGGAUGAGAUUUUGCCGCUCCCAGUGCAGAACCCACAAACUUUGGAGUUCUCCGCUGCAGAUAUUGUGUGGUCAAGAGUGGAAGGAUGGAGAGACAAAAUGGAUCGGCUUGCGCUUAUUCCCUUCCCAAGGGUGAAUGAUUUUGUACGAGGUGAAUCCAAUAACAACGAAUGCCCAACCAGGUUCCAUGUUGAAGCACGCAGGAGGCACCCUCCUCAGUUGGCAUACAAACCAAAAGUCGAUGGGAUUCUUGAGUAUAUUCUGUAAGUGGUAAUCCAGAACUAGUAUACUGCAGUUGGCCUCUUCUGUGAUUGUGGCAGAUAGAAAGGAAAACCUGGACUUAUUGACUGAUGAUUAUUAUGAUAUGCAGGGAUAUCCUUCUUUUAUGACAAAAAUGACUAUUAUCUGGGUGAUUAUUGAUUGUCUCUCAUGAUUGUUGUUUUAAGUUUGUGCAGCUUUGCCAUCAUUUGAUUUUUAAACUACAGCCAUUUUUACACAAAUAAUUCCUGUGGCACUGACUUACUGAUAUCUUAGUUCAAGUUUAUGUAUCCUUUGUACCCUGGAUCAAGGACACCUAUUUACAUUAGUAUGAGCAGAUGCAUUGUCGAUUGUUUGGACUUUAGUUUCUUUUAUUGAUCUAUUUCGAAGCAUAGAAUUCUAUUGUAGAUAUGGGAAGUGUUGAUUACCUAUCACAGACAUAUUUCUAUAUACAUAAUGGUUUUACCUUGAUGCAGAUAUUAGUGUUCGUUUGGGACAGAUGACCAUAGGAAAGGUGGUGUAGUUUGCCCUAGCAGGCACUAUGCUACAAUGAGGAAAUCUCCUGCAGGACGACCAAACACAAAGAGAGAAUGUGUAUGCCAUUUUAUUGUAAAGAGGUUAAUGGCUGAACCUUCUCAUGCUCUUAUCAUAUACAAUCAAGAUAAACAUGUCGACAAAAAAGGGUUACCUUGCCAUGGUCCUCUUGCCAAGAAAUUUGCUGGGACACGAGCAAUGUUUGCACCUUACAUUUCUGAUGAACUUCGUCUUGAAAUUAUGUCACUACUCUAUGUUGGAGUUCCUGUUGAAACCAUAAUGCAGAGGCAUACUCAAAUGGUCCAGAAGCAGGGUGGACCAUGUACUCGAGAUGAUCUUCUCACCCAUAGGUAUGUGCGAAGGUUGGAGAGAAAGAUUAGGCGUUCAGCCUUUGAGAUGGAUCCAGUUGAUGAUGUUAGCAUUGGCUUAUGGAUUGAAAGCCAUAGGGAUCACAUUUUCUAUUAUGAAAAUUUCUCAAGUUCAGAUCCCUUUACUUUAGGCAUUCAGACAGUGGCAACUUCAACAAAUGAUUCAAUUUGGCAACCACAGUAUUCUAGCAUCUGAUUCAUGGCUUGCCACAUACAAAUUCAAAGUAUGAAUGGUUUCUACACUUUUCACUAGACUUGACACGGUUCGGAAUCAACGUUCGAAACCGACGGUUUGGAACCGACGGUUCGGAACUGCCUGUUCGAUGGUUCCUGCCAAAUCAAUCCUUAACUUUAACCGCUCAAAAUGGUUACGGUUCACGGUUCGGAAUCGUUGGUUCACGGUUCACCAUUAUGUUUUAAAAUUUAUUUUAAAAAAGGACUUGUAUUCAUUUAAGUUGUCUACGUUUCCUCUUAG